CUACAUUAGAUACCCCCUGUAGUCCUAGCCGUAAACGAUACUCGCUAGGUGUCGGCCACGGUGCGACCGUUGUCGGUGCCGUAGGGAAGCCGUGAAGCGAGCCACCUGGGAAGUACGGCCGCAAGGCUGAAACUUAAGGAUUGCGGGGAGCACCACAACGGGUGGAGCCUGCGGUUUAAUUGGACUCAACGCCGGGAAGCUCACCGGAUAAGACAGCGGAAUGAUUGCCGGGCUGAAGACCCUGCAUGACCAGCUG
This 256-nucleotide ribosomal RNA is filed under the name uncultured archaeon. Its description in RNAcentral is "partial 16S ribosomal RNA". It matches the Rfam family "Archaeal small subunit ribosomal RNA", at positions 720 to 982 of the family's 1478-position model. The record is from RNAcentral.